This 201-nucleotide long non-coding RNA is filed under the name Paramuricea clavata. Lineage: Eukaryota; Metazoa; Cnidaria; Anthozoa; Malacalcyonacea; Plexauridae. The record is from RNAcentral.
UGUCUUGUUUAAUUGUUUCAUAUACGCAAAGGCCGUCGGGUUUUAAAGCAAUUAUAAAAUCAAUAUUUAAAACAAACUUACCUUCGUUAACGUCGGCUCCCUUCUUUUAGCCGAUUCUUUCGCCCUUUCUUUCUUUCUGAGAAAGCUUUUGAAAUUUACAAAAUCUUGCAAAAAUGCGAGUAAAAAUGAAAUAUAUUUGCA